GAUGAACGCUAGCUACAGGCUUAACACAUGCAAGUCGAGGGGUAACGAGAGGAAAGCUUGCUUUCCUUGUUGACGACCGGCGCACGGGUGAGUAACGCGUAUCCAACCUGCCCCCAACUAAGGAAUAACCUGGCGAAAGUAAGACUAAUACCUUAUAAUUUCCUCAGAUGUCAUCUGACGAGGAAUAAAGAUUUAUCGGUUGUGGAUGGGGAUGCGUCUGAUUAGCUUGUUGGCGGGGUAACGGGCCACCAAGGCAACGAUCAGUAGGGGUUCUGAGAGGAAGGUCCCCCACAUUGGAACUGAGACACGGUCCAAACUCCUACGGGAGGCAGCAGUGAGGAAUAUUGGUCAAUGGGCGAAAGCCUGAACCAGCCAAGUAGCGUGCAGGAUGACGGCCCUAUGGGUUGUAAACUGCUUUUAUACAGGAAUAAAGUUAGCCACGUGUGGUUAUUUGUAGGUACUGUAUGAAUAAGGACCGGCUAAUUCCGUGCCAGCAGCCGCCGUAA
This 506-nucleotide ribosomal RNA is filed under the name uncultured bacterium. RNAcentral describes it as "partial 16S ribosomal RNA". It matches the Rfam family "Bacterial small subunit ribosomal RNA", at positions 28 to 523 of the family's 1533-position model. The record is from RNAcentral.